AUUGAACGCUGGCGGCAGGCCUAACACAUGCAAGUCGAACGGUAACAGGAAGCAGCUUGCUGCUUUGCUGACGAGUGGCGGACGGGUGAGUAAUGUCUGGGAAACUGCCUGAUGGAGGGGGAUAACUACUGGAAACGGUAGCUAAUACCGCAUAACGUCGCAAGACCAAAGAGGGGGACCUUCGGGCCUCUUGCCAUCGGAUGUGCCCAGAUGGGAUUAGCUAGUAGGUGGGGUAACGGUUCACCUAGGCGACGAUCCCUAGCUGGUCUGAGAGGAUGACCAGCCACACUGGAACUGAGACACGGUCCAGACUCCUACGGGAGGCAGCAGUGGGGAAUAUUGCACAAUGGGCGCAAGCCUGAUGCAGCCAUGCCGCGUGUAUGAAGAAGGCCUUCGGGUUGUAAAGUACUUUCAGCGGGGAGGAAGGGAGUAAAGUUAAUACCUUUGCUCAUUGACGUUACCCGCAGAAGAAGCACCGGCUAACUCCGUG
Molecule: ribosomal RNA, 490 nt
Filed under: uncultured bacterium
Lineage: Bacteria
Description: partial 16S ribosomal RNA
Rfam family: Bacterial small subunit ribosomal RNA
Source: RNAcentral